UUAAGUUAUUAAGGGCGCACGGUGGAUGCCUUGGCACUAGAAGCCGAUGAAGGACGUUACUAACGACGAUAUGCUUUGGGGAGCUGUAAGUAAGCUUUGAUCCAGAGAUUUCCGAAUGGGGAAACCCAGCAUGAGUUAUGUCAUGUUAUCGAUAUGUGAAUACAUAGCAUAUCAGAAGGCACACCCGGAGAACUGAAACAUCUUAGUAACCGGAGGAAGAGAAAGAAAAUUCGAUUCCCUUAGUAGCGGCGAGCGAAACGGGAAGAGCCCAAACCAACAAGCUUGCUUGUUGGGGUUGUAGGACACUCUAUACGGAGUUACAAAGGACGACAUUAGACGAAUCAUCUGGAAAGAUGAAUCAAAGAAGGUAAUAAUCCUGUAGUCGAAAAUGUUGUCUCUCUUGAGUGGAUCCUGAGUACGACGGAGCACGUGAAAUUCCGUCGGAAUCUGGGAGGACCAUCUCCUAAGGCUAAAUACUCUCUAGUGACCGAUAGUGAACCAGUACCGUGAGGGAAAGGUGAAAAGCACCCCGGAAGGGGAGUGAAAUAGAACCUGAAACCGUGUGCUUACAAGUAGUCAGAGCCCGUUAAUGGGUGAUGGCGUGCCUUUUGUAGAAUGAACCGGCGAGUUACGAUUUGAUGCAAGGUUAAGCAGUAAAUGUGGAGCCGUAGCGAAAGCGAGUCUGAAUAGGGCGUUUAGUAUUUGGUCGUAGACCCGAAACCAGGUGAUCUACCCUUGGUCAGGUUGAAGUUCAGGUAACACUGAAUGGAGGACCGAACCGACUUACGUUGAAAAGUGAGCGGAUGAACUGAGGGUAGCGGAGAAAUUCCAAUCGAACCUGGAGAUAGCUGGUUCUCUCCGAAAUAGCUUUAGGGCUAGCCUCAAGUGAUGAUUAUUGGAGGUAGAGCACUGUUUGGACGAGGGGCCCCUCUCGGGUUACCGAAUUCAGACAAACUCCGAAUGCCAAUUAAUUUAACUUGGGAGUCAGAACAUGGGUGAUAAGGUCCGUGUUCGAAAGGGAAACAGCCCAGACCACCAGCUAAGGUCCCAAAAUAUAUGUUAAGUGGAAAAGGAUGUGGCGUUGCCCAGACAACUAGGAUGUUGGCUUAGAAGCAGCCAUCAUUUAAAGAGUGCGUAAUAGCUCACUAGUCGAGUGACACUGCGCCGAAAAUGUACCGGGGCUAAACAUAUUACCGAAGCUGUGGAUUGUCCUUUGGACAAUGGUAGGAGAGCGUUCUAAGGGCGUUGAAGCAUGAUCGUAAGGACAUGUGGAGCGCUUAGAAGUGAGAAUGCCGGUGUGAGUAGCGAAAGACGGGUGAGAAUCCCGUCCACCGAUUGACUAAGGUUUCCAGAGGAAGGCUCGUCCGCUCUGGGUUAGUCGGGUCCUAAGCUGAGGCCGACAGGCGUAGGCGAUGGAUAACAGGUUGAUAUUCCUGUACCACCUAUAAUCGUUUUAAUCGAUGGGGGGACGCAGUAGGAUAGGCGAAGCGUGCGAUUGGAUUGCACGUCUAAGCAGUAAGGCUGAGUAUUAGGCAAAUCCGGUACUCGUUAAGGCUGAGCUGUGAUGGGGAGAAGACAUUGUGUCUUCGAGUCGUUGAUUUCACACUGCCGAGAAAAGCCUCUAGAUAGAAAAUAGGUGCCCGUACCGCAAACCGACACAGGUAGUCAAGAUGAGAAUUCUAAGGUGAGCGAGCGAACUCUCGUUAAGGAACUCGGCAAAAUGACCCCGUAACUUCGGGAGAAGGGGUGCUCUUUAGGGUUAACGCCCAGAAGAGCCGCAGUGAAUAGGCCCAAGCGACUGUUUAUCAAAAACACAGGUCUCUGCUAAACCGUAAGGUGAUGUAUAGGGGCUGACGCCUGCCCGGUGCUGGAAGGUUAAGAGGAGUGGUUAGCUUCUGCGAAGCUACGAAUCGAAGCCCCAGUAAACGGCGGCCGUAACUAUAACGGUCCUAAGGUAGCGAAAUUCCUUGUCGGGUAAGUUCCGACCCGCACGAAAGGCGUAA
This 2003-nucleotide ribosomal RNA is filed under the name Streptococcus pyogenes. Its description in RNAcentral is "23S ribosomal RNA". It matches the Rfam family "Bacterial large subunit ribosomal RNA", at positions 3 to 2004 of the family's 2925-position model. The record is from RNAcentral. Lineage: Bacteria; Bacillati; Bacillota; Bacilli; Lactobacillales; Streptococcaceae.